UGGGGAAUAUUGCACAAUGGGGGAAACCCUGAUGCAGCGACGCCGCGUGAACGAAGAAGGUAUUCGUAUCGUAAAGUUCUGUCCUAUGGGAAGAUAAUGACAGUACCAUAGAAGAGAGCUCCGGCUAAAUACGUGCCAGCAGCCGCGGUAAUACGUAUGGAGCGAGCGUUGUCCGGAAUUAUUGGGCGUAAAGGGUACGCAGGCGGUUUAAUAAGUCGAAUGUUAAAGAUCGGGGCUCAACCCCGCAAAGCAUUGGAAACUGAUAAACUUGAGUAGUGGAGAGGAAAGUGGAAUUCCUAGUGUAGUGGUGAAAUACGUAGAUAUUAGGAGGAAUACCAGUAGCGAAGGCGACUUUCUGGACACAAACUGACGCUGAGGUACGAAAGCGUGGGGAGCAAACAGG
This 403-nucleotide ribosomal RNA is filed under the name bacterium. RNAcentral's name for it is "partial 16S ribosomal RNA". It matches the Rfam family "Bacterial small subunit ribosomal RNA", at positions 355 to 776 of the family's 1533-position model. The record is from RNAcentral.